RNAcentral lists this ribosomal RNA (230 nucleotides) under uncultured bacterium. RNAcentral describes it as "partial 16S ribosomal RNA". It matches the Rfam family "Bacterial small subunit ribosomal RNA", at positions 105 to 334 of the family's 1533-position model. The record is from RNAcentral.
CGACGGUGAGUAAUACAUCGGAACGUGUCUUCUAGUGGGGGAUAACUGCCCGAAAGGGCAGCUAAUACCGCAUGAGACCUGAGGGUGAAAGCGGGGGAUCGUAAGACCUCGCGCUGGAAGAGCGGCCGAUGUCCGAUUAGCUAGUUGGUGAGGUAAAGGCUCACCAAGGCGACGAUCGGUAGCUGGUCUGAGAGGACGACCAGCCACACUGGGACUGAGACACGGCCCAG